AACGAACGCUGGCGGCAGGCUUAACACAUGCAAGUCGAACGCAUCCUUCGGGGUGAGUGGCAGACUGGUGAGUAACGCGUGGGAACGUGCCCUUCAGUUCGGGAUAACCCAGGGAAACUUGGGCUAAUACCGGAUACGUGCGAGAGCAGAAAGAUUUAUCGCUGAAGGAUCGGCCCGCGUCUGAUUAGCUAGUUGGUGGGGUAAUGGCCCACCAAGGCGACGAUCAGUAGCUGGUCUGAGAGGAUGAUCAGCCACAUUGGGACUGAGACACGGCCCAAACUCCUACGGGAGGCAGCAGUGGGGAAUAUUGGACAAUGGGCGCGAGCCUGAUCCAGCCAUGCUGCGUGAGUGAUGAAGGCCUUAGGGUUGUAAAGCUCUUUCGUCCGGGACGAUAAUGACGGUACCGGAAGAAGAAGCCCCGGCUAACUUCGUGCCAGCAGCCGCCGUAA
This 449-nucleotide ribosomal RNA is filed under the name uncultured bacterium. Its description in RNAcentral is "partial 16S ribosomal RNA". It matches the Rfam family "Bacterial small subunit ribosomal RNA", at positions 29 to 523 of the family's 1533-position model. The record is from RNAcentral.